UUCAAAAAUUGGUAUAUUCCCCCUAACACAGAACUUUUGCCCAAAAUGGUAGACUUCUACACUUUGAAUGCUUGACAGCAUGUGAUUAUUUUAUCAUAAUAAGGCAAAAGCUAGAGGAAUAAUUUAAUAGUAAAUUUGUUGAUAAAGAAAACAUAUUAAAAUGAAAGGAAAUGAGGUAGUGGAUCACAAUAUAUAAGCAGGGCAUGCAUUGGAUUAAAGCACAAGAAACUGAAAGAUUAAGAAGAGAAAGACAUGGCAGGAGAAUGGAGAAAACUCAUAUUAGUGGCAUUUAUCUUUCUAGCCAUUGCUUCUGGAUGGAUGAUGGUGGAGACGGAAGGAAAGCUUUGCUUCAAGCGGAUCCCGAAGUUCAAGGGAAGGUGUAAUUCAAAUGCUGUAUGUACCAAAGCUUGCAAUACCGGAAUGAAAGGAAUUUGCUCGAAUGUUUUUUAUUGCAUUUGUACCAUCAUUUGUUGACUUUGUCAUUGUAAUCAUGUUUUACAGUUUUAAUCUGCAUGGUUUAAAAUUGACAGAAGUUGUUAUCUUUGAAAUGAUCAAUAAAUAAGUUGUUGAUCGCCGCUGUUCAA
Molecule: long non-coding RNA, 584 nt
Organism: Cucumis melo (muskmelon)
Lineage: Eukaryota; Viridiplantae; Streptophyta; Magnoliopsida; Cucurbitales; Cucurbitaceae
Exons: 2
Source: RefSeq, a predicted model, not a curated record